GACGAACGCUGGCGGCGUGCCUAAUACAUGCAAGUUGAGCGCUGAAGGUUGGUACUUGUACCAACUGGAUGAGCAGCGAACGGGUGAGUAACGCGUGGGGAAUCUGCCUUUGAGCGGGGGACAACAUUUGUAAACGAAUGCUAAUACCGCAUAAAAACUUUAAACACAAGUUUUAAGUUUGAAAGAUGCAAUUGCAUCACUCAAAGAUGAUCCCGCGUUGUAUUAGCUAGUUGGUGAGGUAAAGGCUCACCAAGGCGAUGAUACAUAGCCGACCUGAGAGGGUGAUCGGCCACAUUGGGACUGAGACACGGCCCAAACUCCUACGGGAGGCAGCAGUAGGGAAUCUUCGGCAAUGGACGAAAGUCUGACCGAGCAACGCCGCGUGAGUGAAGAAGGUUUUCGGAUCGUAAAACUCUGUUGGUAGAGAAGAACGUUGGUGAGAGUGGAAAGCUCAUCAAGUGACGGUAACUACCCAGAAAGGGACGGCUAACUACGUG
RNAcentral lists this ribosomal RNA (497 nucleotides) under uncultured bacterium. RNAcentral describes it as "partial 16S ribosomal RNA". It matches the Rfam family "Bacterial small subunit ribosomal RNA", at positions 28 to 507 of the family's 1533-position model. The record is from RNAcentral.